GAUGAACGCUGGCGGCGUGCCUAAUACAUGCAAGUCGAGCGAACAGACGAGGAGCUUGCUCCUCUGACGUUAGCGGCGGACGGGUGAGUAACACGUGGAUAACCUACCUAUAAGACUGGGAUAACUUCGGGAAACCGGAGCUAAUACCGGAUAAUAUAUUGAACCGCAUGGUUCAAUAGUGAAAGACGGUUUUGCUGUCACUUAUAGAUGGAUCCGCGCCGCAUUAGCUAGUUGGUAAGGUAACGGCUUACCAAGGCAACGAUGCGUAGCCGACCUGAGAGGGUGAUCAGCCACAAUGGAACUGAGACACGGACAAGACUCCUACGGUAGGCAGCAGUAGGGAAUCUUCCGCAAUGGGCGAACGCCUGACGGAGCAACGCCGCGUGAGUGAUGAAGGUCUUCGGAGCGUAAAACUCUGUUAUUAGGGAAGAACAAAUGUGUAAGUAACUAUGCACGUCUUGACGGUACCUAAUCAGAAAGCCACGGCUAACUACGUG
Molecule: ribosomal RNA, 497 nt
Filed under: uncultured bacterium
Lineage: Bacteria
Description: partial 16S ribosomal RNA
Rfam family: Bacterial small subunit ribosomal RNA
Source: RNAcentral